RNAcentral lists this ribosomal RNA (494 nucleotides) under uncultured bacterium. RNAcentral's name for it is "partial 16S ribosomal RNA". It matches the Rfam family "Bacterial small subunit ribosomal RNA", at positions 28 to 507 of the family's 1533-position model. The record is from RNAcentral.
GACGAACGCUGGCGGCGUGCUUAACACAUGCAAGUCGAACGGAAAGGCCUGCUUUCCCUUGUGGAUUUCGGGUACUCGUGUGGCGAACGGGUGAGUAACACGGGAGUGAUCUGCCCCCAACUUGGGUAUAAUCCUGGGAAAAUGGGUCUAAUUCCCGAUAGUACUACAGGUUGGUGCCUGUGGUGGGAAACGUUUUUCUAGUGGGUUGGGAUGAGCUCGCGGCCUAUCAGCUUGUUGGUGGGGUAAUGGCCUACCAAGGCGGCGACGGGUAGCCGGCCGGAGAGGGUGGACGGCCACAUUGGGACUGAGAUACGGCCCAGACUCCUACGGGAGGCAGCAGUGGGGAAUAUUGCACAAUGGGCGGAAGCCUGAUGCAGCGACGCCGCGUGGGGGAUGACGGCCUUCGGGUUGUAAACUCCUUUCGACCGCGAGGAAGCCACCUGGUUGGAAGGGUGGUGACGGUAGUGGUAGAAGAAGCACCGGCUAACUACGUG